AUGGCGUCGUCGGCGUUCAAAUCCUCCACCCGCCGCAACCUCCACGGCUCAGCCGACCGCCCCGUUCAGCCACCGCCCCACUGCCCCCGCCGCUCCCGCAGCGUCACCCCUGCGCCCCGCCGCGACCGCCUCCUCGGGGAUUACGCCGGCACCACCCGCACCAACCCGCUCUUCGACCGCGGGGGGAGGCCCUCCUCUCCACCUCCGCCGCCGGAGGACUCGGGGGACAGAGGGAGGAAGGAGAGCAGGGGUCGCGGCUCAGGGAGGGCGCGGUCGGUGUCCGUCGCGCCGCCGCAGCGUCGGCGCGCUGCCACCUCGGCGCCGUCGUCGGCAGGCACUGAUGGCGGUGGUGGAGGCAGGGCUUCGCGGGCGCGGUCGGUGGUCGGUGAGGCACGGCCGUGCCGUGGCUCCGUGACAGAUGUAGAAACCGUGGAUUUAUCAAGCAAAAUGCAGUCUUGGAGGAGUCGUAAUUCAGUUCCAAGUUCGUCAUACGUAUCUGUCAAUGCCAUCUCACAAAGGAGCCAUUCAACUGUCCCAGUGGAACAAGUUCUGGAAAUUCCUCCUGAGUUCGAUCCGGAUUCUGCUGAGUUUGUCUCGGAUAUAAGUGAUUAUGCAACAGAAUUCAAACGGAGAGAUGUUUUGGAAAUUCCUCUUGAGUUUGAUCCAGAUGCUACUCAGCUGGUUUCAGUCGAAAGGCACAAUGCGACCAAGCUGCAAUGGGAGGGAAUAGAAAUCCCUCUUGAGUUUGAUCCAGAUUCUGUUGAGCUGGCUCCUGACAUCACUGAGUACACAUCAAAACUGAAACAGUCACAUGAGCGUGCUCGAAAGCUGCGGGCAGAUUUGGCUGUUGAAGAGCAGCGCGAACAAGAACUGAGUAGAAUGCUAAAGGGCAUAGUAACUGUUCCAAGUUUGUCCGAAACGCAUAAAAGGCGACCAAGGAGAAAGAGUAGUAUAGAGCGAUUGAGAGUGUCAAGGCAUUUGGCUGAAGAGGCAAUCAGUUACUUCGAGGAGUGUGUUUCAAUUUCAACAUUAGAUAGCACUGAUUUCUCCUCACUCGAGGAACCUCAUCAGAAUUCAGGUGGAACUGUCCCACGAAAGAGCAACAGUAGAUUUCUCCUCAAAGGGGGAUCAAGCUCUUUAGAAUCCCACUUUCCAACUGAUCGACAGAAUUAUAAUGAGGAACCUGACAACCAAACCCAGUGCUCAAUGAGCAUCACUGGAUCUGAUGUGUCUGACAGUGUUAUCUUUAGUCAUGCCAAGUCCCCUGGUUUGGGAACUAGAAACAAUUCUAGUGAUGAUUUUGACACACCACGAAGCAAAAGUUCUUGUUUCUCUUUCACACAUGAGCCAGUGAAAGCUGUCGACAAUUGUGAUAUUCGUCAAUAUCUAAGGAGUUUCAGCAGAGUAAUCAGCAAAGAGACGUCAAAUUAUUGUGCCGAUGACUAUGCUGUCCAGAAAGUGAGCGAGAACAGACUAACAGACAUGGUGGCCUUUAAGAACCGGAUAGAAUAUGGGGGCCUUGUUCUUUGUAAUAUCAGAACAUUCUGA
This 1548-nucleotide ribosomal RNA is filed under the name Triticum aestivum (bread wheat). RNAcentral describes it as "partial small subunit ribosomal RNA". The record is from RNAcentral. Lineage: Eukaryota; Viridiplantae; Streptophyta; Magnoliopsida; Poales; Poaceae.